This 447-nucleotide ribosomal RNA is filed under the name uncultured bacterium. RNAcentral describes it as "partial 16S ribosomal RNA". It matches the Rfam family "Bacterial small subunit ribosomal RNA", at positions 83 to 523 of the family's 1533-position model. The record is from RNAcentral.
CUCGCAAGAGGAGCGGCAGACGGGUGAGUAACGCGUGGGAAUCUACCGUACCCUACGGAAUAGCUCUGGGAAACUGGAAGUAAUACCGUAUACGCCCCCCUUUAAAAUGUCAGAAUCAUAAAAUGCCUCUGGCCUUUUAUGGGGGGGAAAGAUUUAUCGGGGUAUGAUGAGCCCGCGUUGGAUUAGCUAGUUGGUGGGGUAAAGGCCUACCAAGGCGACGAUCCAUAGCUGGUCUGAGAGGAUGAUCAGCCACAUUGGGACUGAGACACGGCCCAAACUCCUACGGGAGGCAGCAGUGGGGAAUAUUGGACAAUGGGCGCAAGCCUGAUCCAGCCAUGCCGCGUGAGUGAUGAAGGUCUUAGGAUUGUAAAGCUCUUUCACCGAUGAAGAUAAUGACGGUAGUCGGAGAAGAAGCCCCGGCUAACUUCGUGCCAGCCGCCGCGGUAA